This 702-nucleotide small RNA is filed under the name Pongo abelii (Sumatran orangutan). Its description in RNAcentral is "processed transcript". Lineage: Eukaryota; Metazoa; Chordata; Mammalia; Primates; Hominidae. The record is from RNAcentral.
AGAAGCUCUGCUCCCCGGCGGGGACACUCAGUCGCGUCGGCACCGCGGAGCGGGCUGCGUCAGGUGGCUGGCCGGCGCGGCGCUCCCCUGCUCUCUGGCUCCGGACUGCGGCGCGGCGGCUGGAGCGAGCCCCUGUCCCGGCGCGGGGCGGCGGCGGGCGGCCGGCAGGCGCUGCCUUGCGUGUGAGUGCACCUCACUCACAUGUAAGUCGGGGAGCGCCGGGGCCUCCCGCGGAAGUGCGAGUCGCCCGGCGCAGGUGCUGGAGAAUCUGGUAAAAGCACCAUUGUGAAGCAGAUGAGGAUCCUGCAUGUUAAUGGGUUUAAUGGAGAGGGCGGCGAAGAGGACCCGCAGGCUGCAAGGAGCAACAGCGAUGGUGAGAAGGCAACCAAAGUGCAGGACAUCAAAAACAACCUGAAAGAGGCGAUUGAAACCAUUGUGGCCGCCAUGAGCAACCUGGUGCCCCCCGUGGAGCUGGCCAACCCCGAGAACCAGUUCAGAGUGGACUACAUUCUGAGUGUGAUGAACGUGCCUGACUUUGACUUCCCUCCCGAAUUCUAUGAGCACGCCAAGGCUCUGUGGGAGGAUGAAGGAGUGCGUGCCUGCUACGAACGCUCCAACGAGUACCAGCUGAUUGACUGUGCCCAGUACUUCCUGGACAAGAUCGAUGUGAUCAAGCAGGCUGACUAUGUGCCGAGCGAUCAG